This 152-nucleotide microRNA precursor is filed under the name Vicugna pacos (alpaca). RNAcentral's name for it is "miRNA (ENSVPAG00000017193.1)". The stretch from base 49 to 100 matches the Rfam family "mir-1302 microRNA precursor family". Lineage: Eukaryota; Metazoa; Chordata; Mammalia; Artiodactyla; Camelidae. The record is from RNAcentral.
AAUACAAGAUGCCCAAUUAAAAUUAAAUUUUAGAUAACCAACAAAUAAUUUUUAGUAUAACUAUGUCCCAUGCAAUACUUGGGACAUACUUAUACUACAAUAUUAUUUAUUAUUUAUCUGUAAUUUAAGUUUACUUGGAUGUUCUGUAUUUU